RNAcentral lists this transfer RNA (64 nucleotides) under Corigetus marmoratus. RNAcentral describes it as "tRNA-Tyr". Lineage: Eukaryota; Metazoa; Arthropoda; Insecta; Coleoptera; Curculionidae. The record is from RNAcentral.
GGUAAAAUGGCUGAUAAUAGGCGAUAGAUUGUAAAUUUAUUUAUGAAAAUUAUUUCUUUUACCA